AGAGUUUGAUCCUGGCUCAGAUUGAACGCUGGCGGCAUGCCUUACACAUGCAAGUCGAACGGCAGCACGGGUGCUUGCACCUGGUGGCGAGUGGCGAACGGGUGAGUAAUGUAUCGGAACGUACCAUUCAGUGGGGGAUAACUAUCCGAAAGGAUAGCUAAUACCGCAUAUUCUGUGAGCAGGAAAGCAGGGGAUCGCAAGACCUUGCGCUGAUUGAGCGGCCGAUAUCAGAUUAGCUAGUUGGUGGGGUAAAAGCCUACCAAGGCGACGAUCUGUAGCGGGUCUGAGAGGAUGAUCCGCCACACUGGAACUGAGACACGGUCCAGACUCCUACGGGAGGCAGCAGUGGGGAAUUUUGGACAAUGGGCGAAAGCCUGAUCCAGCCAUGCCGCGUGAGUGAAGAAGGCCUUCGGGUUGUAAAGCUCUUUCGGCCGGGAAGAAAUCGCAUAGGUUAAUACCCUGUGUGGAUGACGGUACCGGAAUAAGAAGCACCGGCUAACUACGUGCCAGCAGCCGCGGUAAUACGUAGGGUGCGAGCGUUAAUCGGAAUUACUGGGCGUAAAGCGUGCGCAGGCGGUUUUUUAAGACAGGCGUGAAAUCCCCGGGCUCAACCUGGGAACUGCAUUUGUGACUGCAAGGCUAGAGUACGGCAGAGGGGGAUGGAAUUCCGCGUGUAGCAGUGAAAUGCGUAGAUAUGCGGAGGAACACCGAUGGCGAAGGCAGCCCCCCUGGGCCGAUACUGACGCUCAUGCACGAAAGCGUGGGGAGCAAACAGGAUUAGAUACCCUGGUAGUCCACGCCCUAAACGAUGUCAACUAGGUGUUGGGUGGGUAAAACCAUUUAGUACCGGAGCUAACGCGUGAAGUUGACCGCCUGGGGAGUACGGCCGCAAGGUUAAAACUCAAAGGAAUUGACGG
Molecule: ribosomal RNA, 917 nt
Filed under: uncultured beta proteobacterium
Lineage: Bacteria; Pseudomonadati; Pseudomonadota; Betaproteobacteria
Description: bacterial SSU rRNA
Rfam family: Bacterial small subunit ribosomal RNA
Source: RNAcentral